GAGACAAGGUGAUGGUGGGGUAGGACCCACCUGCCAAGCCACCACCAUUUCCAGACUGUCAUCUCAGCCUGUGCGAGGUACUCACUGGGACCAGACAGCAGACAGCAGACUGUGAGGAGGUAGUUUAGAAACUACCAGGCUUGUGUCUGUUCUCAGUUUUCAAUGCCUGGUGACUCAGCUUCCCCAUCACGAACCUAAGAACAACCAGUCUAAUGAUGCUGUGGGAGGCAGAGGCAUACUCUGCCUCCCUUCGAGUGUACUCGCUUUGGGUAUACCCUGACAGGGGACUCCCCAGCACGAGACAUGCCAUCCCCGAACUCCUCAGUAGUGCCUGGCCCUCGCGACCUCGUAGUCUGACACUGUCUUUUCCUUCCUUUGCUCCUCAUCUUUUACCCACCUUCCUCUGUCACCCUUCCCUCUCUGUAUACACCUCUGUGUCUCCCUGUCUGGCUGCUGUGCCCUCCCCUUUCGCUCCCUUAGUGCCCCCAGCAGCAGUAGCAGUGCCAAGGGUGGCGGAGCCCCAUGGCCUGGGGGCGCCCAAACAUACUCACCCAGUU
RNAcentral lists this long non-coding RNA (557 nucleotides) under Rattus norvegicus (Norway rat). Its description in RNAcentral is "long non-coding RNA NONRATT014668". Lineage: Eukaryota; Metazoa; Chordata; Mammalia; Rodentia; Muridae. The record is from RNAcentral.